This is a long non-coding RNA of Sinocyclocheilus anshuiensis, 626 nucleotides long. RefSeq lists it as uncharacterized. NCBI's taxonomy places the organism in Eukaryota, Metazoa, Chordata, Actinopteri, Cypriniformes, Cyprinidae. The transcript has 2 exons. The record is from RefSeq and is a predicted model, not a curated record.
CAACUGCACAGAGCAAUGAAAGAGCAUCUGUCAAUCAACAACAAGACACACCCACACCAGACAAAGGAUUGGUGAAAAAUAAGGAUAGCGGUCUGACGAACGGCAGUCGUGUGGCUCAGCUCAGGAAGCACUUCAACACCACUAAUGCCCCAUGUGUCAAACCACCGAUCCCCUGCAAGCCCACUCACCUACUGGCUUCCCCCUCUGUCAGAUAAACACAACACUGCUACACACCUGAAAAAUAUCCUUGUGUAUCCAAAAAUCUGCAAAAUGAACUAAAAACACUAGAAAGACCUGCGCAUACCUGAGCGUAAGAGCAGAUCCAGGUGUGGACACAGCUGGAGACGGAUGUUGUACGGAAAUCAAACACUUCUUAUGACCCAGCUCGAGCCAUCACUCUUCAGGUUUCACACUGUUUACAGAGGAAUAUGGUCUCCAAAGGACUCAAAGACUUGUACUACUCACUUUACACAAUUUUUGUUUUUGUUUUUGUUUUUUUUUUAUAUAAACUUUGUUUCCUUAAGGGGAGAAUGACCAAAGUUAUUGUGUCAUGUUUGUAUAGAUAAUUUUUCGUCUGGUUGUAAAUAACGGUGUCAUAUUGUUUUAAAUAAAACAACUGGUUUUAA